RNAcentral lists this ribosomal RNA (549 nucleotides) under uncultured bacterium. RNAcentral describes it as "bacterial SSU rRNA". It matches the Rfam family "Bacterial small subunit ribosomal RNA", at positions 355 to 896 of the family's 1533-position model. The record is from RNAcentral.
UGGGGAAUCUUCCGCAAUGGACGAAAGUCUGACGGAGCAACGCCGCGUGAACGAAGAAGGUCUUCGGAUUGUAAAGUUCUGUGAUUCGGGACGAAAGGGUUUGUGGUGAAUAAUCAUAGACAUUGACGGUACCGAAAAAGCAAGCCACGGCUAACUACGUGCCAGCAGCCGCGGUAAUACGUAGGUGGCAAGCGUUGUCCGGAAUUAUUGGGCGUAAAGCGCGCGCAGGCGGUUUCUUAAGUCCAUCUUAAAAGCGUGGGGCUCAACCCCAUGAGGGGAUGGAAACUGGGAAGCUGGAGUAUCGGAGAGGAAAGUGGAAUUCCUAGUGUAGCGGUGAAAUGCGUAGAGAUUAGGAAGAACACCGGUGGCGAAGGCGACUUUCUAGACGAAAACUGACGCUGAGGCGCGAAAGCGUGGGGAGCAAACAGGAUUAGAUACCCUGGUAGUCCACGCCGUAACGAUGGAUACUAGGUGUAGGAGGUAUCGACCCCUCCUGUGCCGGAGUUAACGCAAUAAGUAUCCCGCCUGGGAAGUACGAUCGCAAGAUUA